UGCUUUUACCGGGAACAGAACAGGAAUGGAGUCUUAGAACUUAACCCACUUCUGCAACACUGCCUAUUAAAGGAAACAACUUCAAUGCCACCUCUGCUGAAAUCCCAAGUCCCUUCCUCUCAUCUCAUUGGAGUUGUAAAAGAUGUACAUCCUGCAAAACAGGGAGAAAAAUACUGGACUUCAUCUCUGCCACAAACUGGAUUCAUAGACACUAAGGUCAGAAGGGACCAUUAUGAUCAUCUAGUCUGACCUGCACAACGCAGGCCACAGAAUCUCACCCACCCACUCCUGUGAAAAACCUCACCUACGUCUGAUCUGUUGAAGUCCUCAAAUCGUGGUUUAAAGACUUCAAGGAGCGGAGAAUCCUCCAGCAAGAGACCUGUGCCCCAUGCUACAGAGGGAGGCGAAAAACCUCCAGGGCCUCUUCCAAUCUGCCCUGGAGGAAAAUUCCUUCCUGACCCCAAAUAUGGCGAUCAGCUAAACCCUGAGCAUAUGGGCAAGAUUCGCCAGCCAGAUACUACAGAAAAUUCUUUCCUGGGUAACUCAGAUCUCAGAAUCUUCUGCAGACAUCUUACAUUUUUCAAAAAUAUAUUGAAAACGGAGUUUGCAAUGCUUCUAUCAAAGAGCAAAUCCAGACACACAGAGAAAAGGCUAUUGUGUUUAUUUGGUGCACAUGGACUGUAAUGCAACUGAAGCAAGUGGGGGAAGCUUUCACAGCUGCUCCACAACUUUUCCAGGGAAGCUUGACUGGUGGAACCAGCUGAUACACCCUCACAAUCCUCAUAGGGAAUAUGACAGGUUUCAGAGAGUAACAGCCGUGUUAAGUCUGUAUUCGCAAAAAGCAAAGGAGGAGUACUUGUGGCACCUU
Caretta caretta (loggerhead turtle) is the source of this 868-nucleotide long non-coding RNA. RefSeq lists it as uncharacterized. The record is from RefSeq and is a predicted model, not a curated record. NCBI's taxonomy places the organism in Eukaryota, Metazoa, Chordata, Testudines, Cheloniidae.